Molecule: long non-coding RNA, 1672 nt
Organism: Cervus elaphus (red deer)
Lineage: Eukaryota; Metazoa; Chordata; Mammalia; Artiodactyla; Cervidae
Exons: 4
Source: RefSeq, a predicted model, not a curated record
GUGGUCCCUGGGAAGUCCAGCAUGAUAUGUGGCCGUGGGAAGAAGCCUCACAGCUGCCCGGUGGCGUGAGGGGUACAGAGGGGUGGGGGCGACCCGUCAGCCAAGGCCUUGGCCAGGCGUGGCGCUGGUGGCCCCUGUCUGUUGUGGGCUGAAGUGGACCCCCGGGGACUGCUGCAGGGCGGUGCUGCCUUCUGGAUGCCUCACACCUGCCCUACUCAUCCCCUGCGAGGCCUGCUCUGAUGGGGAGCCACCCCAGGCCCAAUGUACACCCAGCAUGCCUGCCACCUUGGCGGUGCCGCCUAGCCCUUGCCAUGGGAGGGGACUGUGGACUGUGCUCACUGGAUCCCCUCUGCCUCCCGCCCCUGCAGUCAAGAGAAGGGCUGGAGGUACCAGAUGUCCCUGCGCCCUGGAGGACCCCGACAGUGGCAGGGGAGGUCGAGGGCCGUGUGAGCAGCCUUUGGGCUGCAGUCCUGCAGGUCUGAGUGCCUGUGGCCAGGAGCUGUCCUGAACUGUGGUACGGUGUUUCAGGCACCCCAGGCAUGUUCCUUGGUGGGUCCAGGGGAACUUCUCUGUGUCUCCGAGACUUUCUGAGACACGUGGGAGCUGCUCGUCCAUCUCUAGAUGCUGAUUCUGUAGAGUCGGGAGGGCCCACUGUGUUGACUGGGCUGUUACUCUGCGAGGUGCACCUGCUUGGAGUGCUGGCCGGCCUCUUGCCGACCCCUCUACCCUUAGAUGAAGCACCAUCCAGCCGUGAUGGACUUGUUUCCAGUUUUGGCACUGAUGGAAGGGCUGACCCAGGCUCUCCUGCCCAUCGGGGAAACACCAGGGUGCAAGAACCCCUUGCAAGGACCACUGCUAUCUGUCUCGUUGCUCUGUCCCUUGAGUCACCCUGCAGUGGAACUGCCUCCUCCCAGGAACGGCCAGACCGAAAGGUCAGGAACCUUGUCGGCUGCUGUCCAUUUUGGUUUACGUGGUGCUCAGUCUGGACAUGCUGACGUGCACCCUCUGGCUGUCAGACAGCCCUUGUGUGCGCUCCUGCUCGUCACUGUGGCCUCUGGGCGGGAGCAGAGUUAGGACCUUCUGUUUGCUUCUGAUGUCCCCAGGGUCUAGGCCAGCCGACUCUGGCUGUGACUCAGCCUUUGCAGGUGGGAUCGUGAUGUCCUGGGUGGGCACGGCCAUGGCGGCUCUUCUUCCUCCAGAUGCCCUUCCCCCUGUGGGGCACAGGUGGGACCUUUAGCCCGGUAAGGCCCACUUUAUCAAGUGGUAGGAGGUGUAGGCUUGUACCCCCACUCCCCAGGCACACGGACAUCAUUUCUUCAUCUGCCUGGGGUUUGAGGGUUUGAUAUUUAUUUUUACCAUUACACAGGUGUCCUCUUACAGCUAAAGGGCAGAAGGCCCAAACUCAGUGUCCCCGUUGUGUCUUCCCCACUUGGCAUUGGGCAGGGGCUUCCUGUGGUUCACAGCUUAUCCUCUGUUGACUCCAUGUUUCUCAGUCACCUCCAGGCCUGCCCAAGCCUGUGUGUCUCAGGUCUGGAUAAAUCGACCCUUCAUGCUGACCACUGUGACUGUGGGACUGUUUACCCUGAGCUGAUGGACAGUUCUGAUCUCACUUCCUGUCUGCUCUAGGUCCUGCAUGCUGACAGGUCCCACGUUCUGGCCUCACUUCCUGUCU